UUCUUCAGGGAAGCUGUAGACAUGGUCAGC
RNAcentral lists this non-coding RNA (30 nucleotides) under Mus musculus (house mouse). The record is from RNAcentral. Lineage: Eukaryota; Metazoa; Chordata; Mammalia; Rodentia; Muridae.